Molecule: ribosomal RNA, 552 nt
Filed under: Ethmostigmus rubripes spinosus
Lineage: Eukaryota; Metazoa; Arthropoda; Chilopoda; Scolopendromorpha; Scolopendridae
Description: partial large subunit ribosomal RNA
Rfam family: Bacterial large subunit ribosomal RNA
Source: RNAcentral
AUAUUUUUCGCCUGUUUAUCAAAAACAUGUCUUUUCGAUUUUUAUGAAAGGUCUAACCUGCCCGAUGUAGUAUAAAUGGCCGCGGUAUUUUGACCGUGCGAAGGUAGCAUAAUAAAUAGUCCAUUAAUUGUGGUCUGGGAUGAAUGGUUCGACGAAGAGUAACUUUCUUAUUAUUAUUGUUGAAUUUAAGUUGUUAGUGAGAACGCUAACAUAUAUUAGAUGGACAAGAAGACCCUAUAGAGCUUUAUAUUUAUCUGAAUUUUGGUGGCAUUUAUAUUUAGUAUAUAUUUUGUUGGGGCGACAUUAAAUAUUAAACAUUUAAUUUAAUUUCUUUUUUAAAGGUGUUUUGAUCCAUUAUUAAUGAUUUAAGAACAAGUUACCUUAGGGAUAACAGCGUAAUUUUGUCUUAGAGUUCUUAUCGAUGACAAAGUUUGCGACCUCGAUGUUGGAUUAAAAUUCCUAUAAGGCGCAAGAGUUUUAUAAGGCAGUCUGUUCGACUGUUGAAAUUUUACAUGAUCUGAGUUCAAACCGGUGUAAGCCAGGUUGGUUUCU